Molecule: long non-coding RNA, 4523 nt
Organism: Cydia pomonella (codling moth)
Lineage: Eukaryota; Metazoa; Arthropoda; Insecta; Lepidoptera; Tortricidae
Exons: 3
Source: RefSeq, a predicted model, not a curated record
GGAACUCCAACGCGUGCAAUUUUUCUUCGUUAAGUUUGUACCAAGUAAGGUUCUUAAGAAACAUUUUUGUCAAAGUACAGUUCUGAUGAUGGGUUUCAUGAAGAAUCGAGGGAAUUCCUAAAAUCUUAUAGGCAUACAUGUAAUAAUUUCUGGGAUUUUAUUUACAUAUCAAGCAUUUUUAUUAAAAAAUUGUCAUUUGACUAAGUGUAACAGCUGAUGUUGACCAGAAUGGAACUCGCCAACUCGCGCGCGAUUUGUUUUAUUAGUUAAGUUUGUAACAAGUAAGUUUUAAGUACUAAGGUUUUUAGGAACAUUCGUGUCAAGGUAAAGGUCUGAUGAUGGGUCCCAUGAAGAAUCGAGGGAAUUUCUUAAAUGUUAUAGGUAUAUAUAUAGUACUUAUUGGAUUUUCAUCAACAUAUUAUCAAGUUUUAUUCACAAAAGUGACAUUUGAUGAUGUGGAACUACUGAUGUUGACCAAAACGGAACUCCAACGCGCGCAAUUUUUCUUCGUUGUUAAGUUUGUAGCGAGUAAGGUUCUCAAGAAACAUUUUUGUCGAAGUACAGUUCUGAUGAUGUGUUUCAUGAGAAAGCGACGGAACUCCUCAUUCUCCUCAAUUUUUAUAGGUAUAUAGUAAUUUUGGAUUUUCAUCAAUAUCUUUAGCUUUUUUUAUUCACAUUAGUGGCAUUCAGGUUAUACCUAUUUAGGAAGCAGAGUUUCUAAUUUAAGGAAAUCUAUGUAAAUUGAUGUUUAUGAAAUAAAUUCAUUCAUUCAAUUCAUUCAUUUGAUGAAGUGGAACUAGUGAUGUUGACUAAAACGGAACUCUUCAACGCAUGAGAUUUUAUUCUUUUUUUGUUUAUUGUGAUAUAAGAGGCAAACUAGCAGACGAAUCAACUGAUGGUAAGCAAUUACCGCUGGCCAUGGACAUCUGUUACACCAUAGGGAUUGUAAGUGCGGUGCCGGCAUUUAAGAUAGGAAUACGCUCUUUCCUUAAAGUUUUAAAGAUCGUAUUGGGCCGGAAAUACCGCAUGCGACAGAUCAUUUCAUAGUUUAGCUGUAUGAGGCAGGAAGUUUCUAGAGAAAUGCACAGUUGAGGAUUGCCAACCAUCUAAGUGGUGAAGAUAUAAAUGAUGUAGCGUAAAGCGGUGACGGAAAGAGGCGGCAGAGAUUAAUCUGAACAAUUCCUCGGAACUUUUAAGUUUGUAGAAAGUAAGGUUCUUAAGAAAUAUCUGUACUAGACACCAGUGUCUAGUGUCUAGGUCUGAUGAUGGACACCUCAAACCUUAUAGAAAUACAUAUAGUUUUUUUUUUCAUCAAUAUCUCUAGGUGUUUUAUUUUAAAAAAGUUAUAUUUGAUCAAGUGGAACUGCUGAUGUUGUCCAGAACGGAACUUUUCAACGCACGCGUUUUGUAUUCUUUAUUAAGCUUGUAGCGAGUAACGUUCUUAAGGUGUAUUUAUAUCAAUAUUCAGUUCUGAUGAUGGGUUUCAUAAAUAAUCGAGGGAAUUCCUGACAUCUUAUAAUUUCUGGAUUUUUAUUUACAUAUCAAGCAUUUUUAUUAAAAUGUGACAUUUGACGAAAUGCAACAGCUGAUGCUGGCCAAAAUGGAACUCGCCAAUUCGCGCGCGAUAUGUUUUAUUUGUAGCAAGUAAAGUUCUUGAAGACAUUUGUGUCAUAAGGUCUAGUUCUGAGGAUGGGUUCCAUGAGAAAUCGAAGAAAUUCCUCAAAUCUUAUAGGCAUACAAUACAUACAGUAAUGUUUGGAUUCUCGUCAACAUAUCAAGCAUUUUUAUUUAAACAAGUUAGUGAUAUUGACCAGAACGGAACUCUUCAACGCGCGCGAUUCUUAUUAUUUGUUAAGUUUGUAGCAAGCUAGGUUCUUAGGAAACAUUUGUGUCAAGGUCCAGUUCUGAUGAUGGAUUCAAUGAGGAAUUGAGGAUUUUAAAUCGAUUUGAAUUCACAAUUAGGAGGAAUUGAGGAUUUUCGUCAACAUAUCAAGUUUUUUUUAUUUGAACAAGUGACAUUUGAUGAAGUGAAACUGCUGAUAUUACUGAAACUAUGCUGAUACUGCUGAAAUGGAACUCUUCAACGACAAGUAUUUUACCUUAGGCGUUUUUUUUUAUUUUAUUUCGUUUAUAGCAUGUAAGGCUUUUAAGGAACAUUUGUGUCAAGGUCCAGUUCUGAUGAUAGGUUCUACGAGAAACUGAAGGAGCUUCUCAUAUUGUAUAGGAUAGGCAUACAUAUAGUCAUUUUAGGAUUUUCAUCAAUAUUACAAGCAUUUUUACUCAAUAAAGUGACAUUUGUUGAAGUAGAAUUGCUGAUGAAGAACGGAACACCUCAACGACUUCCAGAUUCUUUAUUUUUAUUACUCUUCUUUCUUUUUCAUUAUUCUUAGAACAGGUAUUUCUACGAAGUGAACCGAACUGCUACUAUUAAAAGUAGCUAGGUAGGUAUGUUAAAUAGGUUAAAACUGUAAGGAUUAUUAUGUAUAAGUAGUUUCUUUUAAUUAAACAUAGGUAAGUAAUUCUAUUUAAGUAUAAGUAUCUUUAAAAAAACAUCAAUCGACUCUUAUCUGUCACUAGUUCCAGUUUCAGAGUAUAAAAUCCGGGUACACAGCCACGGCUAGCCGGGUAGCCAGACAGUUCGAAUACGGACAAGUUAUUGUGAAUAAAAAAUCUUAUCGUCUUGCAAAAGUUAAUGUCAUAAAUGUAUAGGUUUCGAAUACAUGAAUAUAAAGUGAAAAUGCUGGUAAAAGUAUUAGUUUUUAUCAUUAACCAUUUUAUAUCCCAACAAAACUGUUACCCUUACAAAAAUAAAAUGCUUUCAUUACCUAAUGUAGGUUACGUUAGGUAAUAAAUAAAUAAAUAUGUAGGGACAAUCUUACACAGAUUGGCCCCAAACUAAUCAAAGCUUGUACUAUGGGUACUAGGCGACGUUAAACAUACCUACUUAUUUAGAUAAAUAUAUAUUUACGUAUAUACAUAGAAAACACGCAAGCCUUAGGAACAAAUAUCUGUAUUCAUCACACAAAGAAAUGCCCUUACGCGAUUCAAACUCGGGACCAUCGGCUUCAUAGGCAGGGUCACUACCCACUAGGCCAAACCGGUCGGCAAAAGGUAAAGAUAAUUAGGUAAAGACAAUGAAUAAUUAAACGUAUUAUAAAUUGACACCAAUAUCCAUCAAAUAGUAUAACUAGGUAUGCUAAGAGCGGGCUUCAGGCCAUUACGUCGCACCUUUAGAAUUAAAUUAAUUUGACUCAAAAAGUACGACUACUUUAUAUAUGUAGUUUGGUAGAACAGUAAGAACUCACUAUAUGUGUCUCUUUUUCAUGCGGUGAAAUCCCCCCACCCGGAAAGGAUAGCGACGCCCAUUUUAUCGACUCUCGAGUCGACUCCAAUCUGAUACUAAUAGUAAGUAAGUACUUACUUAGUAAGCAAAUUGUAGUAGUUUUCCCUUCUUAGUAAAAGGAAGUAUUGUAAAGAUACUACUUUUUAACCGACUUCAAAAACUUUUUUUUUGUAUAUAUGUUAAGUAAGAUCUUCGUCAUUUCUGAACCAAUGUUGAAAAUUAGUUAUCGUUUGAAAGUGGGUGUAUAGUUCCAAGAUGGUCCUAUUUUUGACAAAACCACGAGGAAUUAAGGGAACUCCCCAAAUCUUAUAGUCGUUUUUAGGUUUCAUCAACAGACCAGGCAUUGCCAUUCAAAAAAGUGCUAUUUGAAGAAGUGGAACUUCUGAUCAGGACCAGAAAAGAACUCUUUAACGAUGCGUAUUUCACGCUAGACGAUUUGUCUUCUUUGUUAUGUUUGUAAAGAAGCUACUUGCUUAACGAGGUUUAAGGAAUAUUUGUGUAAAGGUCUAGCUUACAUCAUGGGUUCCAUGAGGAAUUGAGGCAACCUCUCAAUUCUUGAUGGAACGUAAAACUGUUUAUUGUCGAUAGGUAUCCCAUCUGCUCUAAUUUACCCCACUUGAAAAAAAAGGUACAUGAAAAAAAAACUUCUCUUAAAAAUAGGAAACCGACUUCAAACAUAGGUAUUAGAAAACAAUACAAAAACUGUUAUUGUAUUUUCAGAAACCAUACGGCAAUAAUGAGGAUGCAUCGACAUAAGAAGAAUCGAACAUGGGCAAGAUAAAGUUCAAGAAAAAAGCAAAUAUAAUGUGUACUUGUGUGUAGUCAAAGAAAGUUGAAAAAUAAAGCAUAAUUAAUGGCCAUAGAAUACAGAACCGAUACACGAACAUUCAGACUAUUAAAAAUAGACAUAUAGGUUGAUCGUACUACUCGUACUAAUGUAUAUCUUUUGUUCAAUUAUAUUAUUGCAUUAAAGUUAGAUUCUCUAGAUAUAUAUUAUUCAUAGGUUCUGUAUUCUAUACGAAUUGUUUCAGUGUAAUUAUUGUACUAAAUACCGUUGACCGCCUGUCAACAGUAUUUAUUUCUACAUUACUAUCACAGAAGAUUUUAGGCCCUACCGUACAGUUUUUGAAUUAGUAUUUACUAUGGACAAAUAUAGCGAAAUGUGAGUUUUUACCUAAAA